This 2380-nucleotide long non-coding RNA is filed under the name Olea europaea subsp. europaea. Lineage: Eukaryota; Viridiplantae; Streptophyta; Magnoliopsida; Lamiales; Oleaceae. The record is from RNAcentral.
GGAAACCCUAAUCUCUUAAGACAAAGGUGACAUCUCUUCUUCAGCUACUCGCCGUCAAAUCUGCAAUGUCAGUCGUCGACAGCAAGUCGCCCAUGCCAAUUAGGGUAAAAUCGGGGUUAGAGCUGUGUAUUGGAGCCUUGUUAUUGGUUCUCGCAUAUGGUAUUUCCUUUAAAGAAUUUGCAUACCCAAAUUUAAUUGCUUCAAAUUUCAAAUUUGUAAAUGCUUCUCGGAGAUUUUGUUAUCUCGUAAUGGGAAAUUUAAAGCAAUUAUGUUCAAUCCUAGUGCGCAGCAAAUCAGAUUCUACUUGUGCGUUAUCCACUUGGAAUCCAACACCAUUAUCUUUUUUUGCAAAUCGUGAUACGCCCGUUUCAAAUUCAGGGAUCAUGGUUUGACUGCGAAUGGUAUAGUUCCUACAUAAGGUUUGUUAGCCAACCCCCAUUAUCAACUCCAAUAAAUCAUCAAUAUUUUUUUUCCCUCGCUUAUAAUUAUGUUAUCUUUGAAUCUCUUAAGCUAUUGCCUCGUUUUGGUAUUCGUCAUAUUGUCCCUUCGAACUGACAGGGAAGUACUUUUUGUUUCUUAAGGAGAUUCCAACUUCCUACAUUUGUUUGUUUCUUUAAUUUGCCUCAUCUUAUUAAUAAUUUUGUCACUCCCUCGGGCUACAUUCUCUAUUUUUAUUGAUCAAAUAGCUAGUUCCUAGAUAUCUCUUUUUUUUUUCUCUAAUGCUAUAGAAGUUGUUGAGUAUAAAUAAUUAUUCACUGUAUAAGUUGAAUUUAAGUGAAAAUAACCUUGGAAUUUAGUAAUUGUAUAUCUUGGCAUUUGUAGCAUACUAUAUAUCUACUAACCAUAAUCAUAUGAGUAAUACAUUUACAUAGUUCAUCCAGCUGCUUUUUGGCUUGAUUUCACUUGGUUUUUCACAUUCAUAUUAUAUUUGUUCACCACAAACUUCACCAGGACCACAUAUUUUACAAGCCUAAAUUUUUUUUUUUGUUCAGAUUACAUAUUACGAAAAAGUGAGAAUUGACAAUAUAAAAUGAUAACAUGAACACAAAAUUUACGUGAAAAUCCAAGACGGAAAAAACAAUGGGCAAGGAGGAGAAAAAAACCACGGACAAAAAUUAUUUGUUACUCAUGGAUUUUUAACUUGAGAUAUUUUUUUCUUAAAAAAAGUUCAGUUGGAUGGUGAAAAGGGGAAGGAAUGUCAAUUAUUCUGUUAUGGUAUAUCUGUUUCAUCAGAAAUGGAAGGGUUGCUAGUAUUUUUCUCCCUUUUGCUCAAAAUGUAGCCAUUUUGUAUAAUUAUUAUGUAAAGUAAUUUAAUUUCGUUUUGCUUUCCCCUUUCACGCUCAACUAGUAAGCUAUAGGAAGUAUUGAUUAUAUAUUAGGUGAUGAAUUAGUAUAGUGAGAACUACUAUUAUCUAAAUUUAUGUCUAUUUUAGGAUUGCCAAGCUGUGGUGGCUAAGCUUGAACGUAGUUUCAAUUUGAAAGACUUUCUAUUCGUUGAUUAUGGUAUUAUUGUCAGGUUUUACCUGUAACAUCCCUUUACUUUUGAUUACUUGUUACCACAUGAUGACCUUUGUCUCAGCUUCUGUUUUAUUAUUUAUUGUAGCUAAUUAUGGGCUCAAUGCAAGCUUUGUCCAUAGUGAUAAAGAAGGCUAAUAUCAAUAGCUUUAUCAGUUGCUUGGUAUUCAUAUUUGUUGACAAAGUGUUUCAUUUUCCAAGCCAAGGCCAUGGUUGUCGACCAUGUAGUUAGGUCGGUGUUGGAAAAGAUGACAUAAUUGACAAGAACAGCAUAGCCUGGAAUGUAGAGAGGUUCAAGCCUUAUCAGUCACAUUGUUAUGCACAAGAAGCCCUCGCUUUCUCUCACUCACCUCUCCCCUUCACAUCCACAUCCAUGCAUAACGCGUUCCUUUAUUUAUUAAUGUCGUUCUCAAUACUUCGAGUAUCUAAUUCUGUCAACUGCUAGUUAGUUGAUUUUGUAACCUAAGAAAAUAUACUUCUAAUGACAUCAUGUACCUGAUGGCGACCAUUGAGAUGUUCUUUUGGUUAGUGUUUGUGUCAAAUGGUUUAUUGAACUAUCAACAGCAACACCAAAUAUGUUCAGCUGGUACAACCAUAAGUUUCUCUAUUAGAAUAUAUUUUUUUAUUUCAGUAUUUUCUUCGUGAAUAUUUCCAAAAAUCUAAGGUAAUGCUAUAUGAUGAAUGCUAAUCAUGCAAAACUAUGGACAAAUAUCUCUGCGUAUUAUCAUAUAUGUAGGUACAGUUGGUUUUGGUAUGCGUUGAUCCCAUAUUCAUUGGUAAAGAUACUAUUUUAAAGCACUAAAAUAUAGGACACCCUCCUACUCUCCCCCAACCGCACAAUAAAAAAGUUAAAAUUCAGUCGAAA